RNAcentral lists this long non-coding RNA (894 nucleotides) under Marmota monax (woodchuck). Lineage: Eukaryota; Metazoa; Chordata; Mammalia; Rodentia; Sciuridae. The record is from RNAcentral.
GGAAGGCGGGUCAGGAGGUCUCCCUGGGAUGCCUGAUGACCGUCCAGGGCUCUGAGCCCGGCGUCGGUAGCCAGUCUCAGGAGGCCCCUGCUGCUGCUGCAGUGCUGCCAUCCUGGCAGGUCUCCCCACAGGGCUGCUGCUGGGGCUAUAAGUUGGGUCUGGCCACUGCCAAGCCACAGUCCCUUACGCAUGUCCUCAGGAUCUUGGGUGGCAGCUGAAGGCACCUCCGCUGGCUCCACUCACCAGACCCCACGCAGGGGCAUGCAGAUGGCAGCCCCACCCCACACCCACAGGCCUGGCUGCAGAAGAGCCUGGGAAAUAGGUUUUAUUUUGCAGCCUUGAUGAAAGGAGCUGGAAAUGGGCGUUGCAUCCUGCUGAGUUUAUCUAGCACCCAACUGCCACGCGGCAUCCCACUGCCGCUGCUCUGCUCUCGCUGGCUGGCCAUCUCCUCGCGCGACUGUCCAUCCUCUGCUCUCCACCAGGAGGCCUCUUCACUGGCUAUGGAACACUCAUUUCUAAUGCCUUCCCUUGUCUACUUUUACUCCAAGAUGACCAUCCUCUUUUAGCAUUGACACAGUUUUGAUUACUGGAACAAAAAUAAUCAUGGAGACUCUGGGCAGCUUUUGCUUUCCCUCAAAAAGGGGAAAUGUGACCAGCUUUGCUUCUUCCCCUUCCUACCUUCCACAUGGAUGUAAUGUCUUGAGCCUUGGCAGCCAUUCUGUGGUCAUGAAGAAAAAGCCAGGAGAACUGCUGAGGUACUGUCCCUAGCUGUUGGACCAACACCAGCAGCCACUUCCUCCCAGACUUCUGAUACAAGAAAAAUAAAUGCACUCAAUUAAGGUACUGUUAGCUGUUGCUUCUGUAAUUUGUACUCAAAACUAGUCCCAACCAAUA